AUUGAACGCUGGCGGCAGGCCUAACACAUGCAAGUCGGGCGGAUGAAGGGAGCUUGCUCCUGGAUUCAGCGGCGGACGGGUGAGUAAUGCCUAGGAAUCUGCCUGGUAGUGGGGGAUAACGUCCGGAAACGGGCGCUAAUACCGCAUACGUCCUGAGGGAGAAAGUGGGGGAUCUUCGGACCUCACGCUAUCAGAUGAGCCUAGGUCGGAUUAGCUAGUUGGUGGGGUAAAGGCCUACCAAGGCGACGAUCCGUAACUGGUCUGAGAGGAUGAUCAGUCACACUGGAACUGAGACACGGUCCAGACUCCUACGGGAGGCAGCAGUGGGGAAUAUUGGACAAUGGGCGAAAGCCUGAUCCAGCCAUGCCGUGUGUGUGAAGAAGGUCUUCGGAUUGUAAAGCACUUUAAGUUGGGAGGAAGGGCAGUAAGUUAAUACCUUGCUGUUUUGACGUUACCAACAGAAUAAGCACCGGCUAACUUCGUG
This 484-nucleotide ribosomal RNA is filed under the name uncultured bacterium. RNAcentral describes it as "partial 16S ribosomal RNA". It matches the Rfam family "Bacterial small subunit ribosomal RNA", at positions 30 to 507 of the family's 1533-position model. The record is from RNAcentral.